GACGAACGCUGGCGGCGUGCUUAACACAUGCAAGUCGAACGGAAAGGCCCUGCUUUUGUGGGGUGCUCGAGUGGCGAAAGGGUGAGUAACACGUGAGUAACCUGCCCUUGACUUUGGGAUAACUUCAGGAAACUGGGGCUAAUACCGGAUAGGAGCUCCUGCUGCAUGGUGGGGGUUGGAAAGUUUCGGCGGUUGGGGAUGGACUCGCGGCUUAUCAGCCUGUUGGUGGGGUAGUGGCUUACCAAGGCUUUGACGGGUAGCCGGCCUGAGAGGGUGACCGGCCACAUUGGGACUGAGAUACGGCCCAGACUCCUACGGGAGGCAGCAGUGGGGAAUAUUGCACAAUGGGCGGAAGCCUGAUGCAGCAACGCCGCGUGCGGGAUGACGGCCUUCGGGUUGUAAACCGCUUUCGCCUGUGACGAAGCGGGAGUGACGGUAAUGGGUAAAGAAGCACCGGCUAACUACGUG
This 468-nucleotide ribosomal RNA is filed under the name uncultured bacterium. RNAcentral describes it as "partial 16S ribosomal RNA". It matches the Rfam family "Bacterial small subunit ribosomal RNA", at positions 28 to 507 of the family's 1533-position model. The record is from RNAcentral.